UAACACAUGCAAGUCGAGGGGCAGCACAAGGAGCAAUCUGAGGUGGCGACCGGCGCACGGGUGAGUAACACGUAUGCAACCUGCCUGUAAGCGGGGAAUAACCCGUUGAAAGACGGACUAAUACCGCAUAAUACUAAAUUACUGCAUGGUAAUUUAUUUAAACAUUUAUGGCUUACAGAUGGGCAUGCGCAUGAUUAGCUAGUUGGAGAGGUAACGGCUCCCCAAGGCAACGAUCAUUAGGGGUUCUGAGAGGAAGGUCCCCCACACUGGUACUGAGACACGGACCAGACUCCUACGGGAGGCAGCAGUGAGGAAUAUUGGUCAAUGGACGAGAGUCUGAACCAGCCAAGUCGCGUGCAGGAAGAAUGUCCUAUGGAUUGUAAACUGCUUUUGCAGGGGAAUAAAGUGCAUCACGUGUGAUGUUUUGUAUGUACUCUGCGAAUAAGGAUCGGCUAACUCCGUGCCAGCAGCUGC
This 474-nucleotide ribosomal RNA is filed under the name uncultured bacterium. Its description in RNAcentral is "bacterial SSU rRNA". It matches the Rfam family "Bacterial small subunit ribosomal RNA", at positions 49 to 518 of the family's 1533-position model. The record is from RNAcentral.